AGUAAUUAACAAGCGCCAGGACCAUAUUUUAUGGUUGACGAGGUCUAGAGUUUAUCGAAAUAUUCGGCGGAUGCUCUAGUGGCUUUAACUUAAGGUCAUAAUAUUAAUAUAAAAACUAAUAGCAAUAUUAAAACAGAAAUUAAUACAAUUAAGUAU
Molecule: non-coding RNA, 156 nt
Filed under: Clostridium sp.
Lineage: Bacteria; Bacillati; Bacillota; Clostridia; Eubacteriales; Clostridiaceae
Description: GlcN6P sequence
Rfam family: glmS glucosamine-6-phosphate activated ribozyme aptamer
About the family: This entry contains a glucosamine-6-phosphate activated ribozyme that is found in the mRNA for GlmS. GlmS is an enzyme that uses fructose-6-phosphate and glutamine to generate glucosamine-6-phosphate.
Source: RNAcentral